RNAcentral lists this ribosomal RNA (425 nucleotides) under uncultured Saprospiraceae bacterium. Its description in RNAcentral is "bacterial SSU rRNA". It matches the Rfam family "Bacterial small subunit ribosomal RNA", at positions 355 to 776 of the family's 1533-position model. Lineage: Bacteria; Pseudomonadati; Bacteroidota; Saprospiria; Saprospirales; Saprospiraceae. The record is from RNAcentral.
UAAGGAAUAUUGGACAAUGGUCGGAAGACUGAUCCAGCCAUGCCGCGUGCAGGACGAAGGCGCUCAGCGUUGUAAACUGCUUUUGGAUGGGAAUAAUACUCUCGACUUGUCGGGACUUGAAGGUACCAUCAGAAUAAGCACCGGCUAACUCCGUGCCAGCAGCCGCGGUAAUACGGAGGGUGCGAGCGUUAUCCGGAAUCACUGGGUUUAAAGGGUGCGUAGGCGGCGAGGUAAGUCAGUUGUGAAAUUCCCCGGCUCAACCGGCGGGACUGCGAUUGAUACUGCUUUGCUUGAAACAGGUUGAGGUAAGCGGAAUGUGGCAUGUAGCGGUGAAAUGCAUAGAUAUGCCAUAGAACACCGAUUGCGAAGGCAGCUUGCUGGGCCUGAUUUGACGCUGAGGCACGAAAGCGUGGGGAGCAAACAGG